Esox lucius (northern pike) is the source of this 1449-nucleotide long non-coding RNA. Lineage: Eukaryota; Metazoa; Chordata; Actinopteri; Esociformes; Esocidae. The record is from Ensembl.
GCAAGAACGUAGAUGGUACAGACGGGAUGACAGAAUAAAAUCCAUCAUGCCCUGAGUCCUCCAGGCUUCCACACCGGUUGGUUUCCAUCACAAAUUCUACAAUAGAAAUGAUAUGCUGACUGAUCCAUAAUGUGUUUGUACAUGUGUGUAGUAGUCAGAGUAGUGUGUGGUGUUUAGUGUUUGUAUUGGUCCAUACGUUCAUUAUAAUCGUCCUGUUGGGCCUGAGGACUAUAAAAAGAAAAUAAAUGCAUAAAUUCUUUUUUGGAAAAACAUAUUUCAUCAUGGACAACAACACAGGAAAAGUUUAUUAAAAAACUGCAUAAUAAAAUAUCCACAAGGGGAAUUCUUACCUCUGAGAUUUGUUUCUUUCUGGAAAACAAAUUAGGUUUAAUGUAUUAUACUGAACAUACCCUUGUCUCUAAAACAGAACCAAAGGGACGAGAUGGAGUAAUUCAAGUCAUAGACACUUACAUUCAUGAAAAAGGUACAUGUCUGCAAAAGAUUUAACAUUCAUCUGAAGUACUCACUGGUCUUCCUAUAGAGACAGACAGCUGUCAAUCCCACCAGGAAUACACCCACUCCAGAAGCCAGACCCACUGCUGUAUGCCAUCGAUUCAAUUUUUGGGGACAUUGGCAGAGUUCAUUAUGUGUUAAUCACACAUGUUCAUGGAGUGUCAGUUAGGGUUUCUACACAUUGAGACCGGGAAGAACCCCUAUAAGUUCAUCCAAAAACACAAGUUCUUCCAUUAAAUGUUUAAAAGAACCCCUUUAUAAUGGUUCCUCAAAGAACCAUCUGAAGAACCUUUUGGGGUUGAUUUUUGAGCGGGUAGGUUUUUCAUAAGCUUCUUUCAGUAACAAGUAUUGAGUGUUCAGGCAGUCUGGUGAAUUUGCAAACCUGCAGUUCUGCCCUGUCCCUUACCUUAUAGGAUCUCAGUUAUUAUUAUAUGCAUAGAUGUAGAAAUGUUUGGAGAUGUUUUUCUGUGAAGCCACUUUUGAAUUGGUUGGGGAAUAUACUUACAUUUCAGUGAUCUACAGCUAUAUUUAAUUCCAUGGUCAUAAACAUCGGUUUUGAUUUUGUUUCAUAUAAAAUACCACAUGAUGACUAAAAAUAAUUUGUCCUUGCUUUAAAUUGUUUAUUUUCCCAACAUUCCACAAUACAAAAGGGCCGUCAGAAAACAGUAUGCAGUUACAAUUCACAGUAUUAAUAGUUAUUUAAAAUUCCCGUUGACAUUUUUCUUUGAAGAACUUAUAGGACUUCCACCACAGUUUCAAAUGAAAGUAUAAUUCAAGAAAAAAAAAUUGGUGAGCAGCGUCAAUACAUAAGAACGGUCAUGUUUUAGAAGACCACCUUGUUAUUGUCUGGUUAAAUGUUUCUGAAAAGACAGUCAGCUAGAGAAGGAUACUUACCCAAGUUGUUGUCUGGGUUGGGUUUCACCACAUUUUCUGUGG